This is a long non-coding RNA of Neofelis nebulosa (Clouded leopard), 2571 nucleotides long. RefSeq lists it as uncharacterized. NCBI's taxonomy places the organism in Eukaryota, Metazoa, Chordata, Mammalia, Carnivora, Felidae. The record is from RefSeq and is a predicted model, not a curated record. The transcript has 2 exons.
UAGCUGCAGAGGACAGAGGCUCAGGCAGGGCCCGGGCCGCCUCCUGGGAGGAGGCCAAACUUCAGAGCCCUGAGUGUGAAGGAAAAGGCAAGGCCCCACAGGGCAGCUCUGGGAGGCAGGUAAGCCCUGCCGUCUGGGCCGUGAAGGCCGAAGGGCCUGGAGCAGCUGGGAAGCAAGUGGGAGUCCCACAAGGCUCUGAGCACAGUGUGACAGAUGGGCUCAGGAAGAAGGCAGGCAGCAGUGCUCCAGCACAUUCUAGAACAUUCCACACCUCGAGAACCUGAGGCUGGAUCCCAGCACAGCUGUCAAUUGUGCCCUGAGGAAAGCUACAACCGGCCCCAGGCCACGAUCCCUCACCUGCCUUUAGGAAAUAAAGCCAGGUGCCCUGGGCUGCUAAGACCACAGUCCUGCGCACCCCGGCCAGCCAUCCGGGCCUACGGGCGGCCGGAAGAGGAGGCUGGUGGGAAGAUGCGCACAGAAGCUCCUCACUCUGAAGGGUGGCUGCGCUGUCGCCCAAGGGCUGGGCCAGAGCGGGAGAGGCCGGGGCCAGGGCAGCUGGGCACUGUAAGGAGAACCGGGCACACCCACUGUCCUUUACCUCCCUGGCUUGGUGACACCACUCUGGUCCCCCGGCAGCUCAAUGGCAUCGAUGGCCCCCUCCAGGCGAAGCAGGAUCACUGUGGGCAAGGGGUCAUCAGGUGCAGCCCGCCCGGCCACGCUGCAGCGGGGGAGGGCAGCACUCACCCUUGAGCUUGGCGAGGUCUUCCAACUCCAUGCGCAGCCCUGGGAGAGCGGCAAACGCACAGUCACUUUCUACCGCCACGCACCACAUCCUGGAGACAGGAUUCGGGCUGGAUUCCUGCCAGUUUCCCCAAGUCGUGGCGGUCUGGAGGUUCGCACAGACCAGUCCAACAGGCUCUGAACCCUUGCAGCCCGAACGUGGGCCAGAAGCAGCGGUGUGAGCUGGCGGUGUCUCACCUCUAGGGACACGGGAGCACACACACACUCGGAUGCUCGCUGGAGGCCCAGGACAACGACCCAGCUACAAAGUGUCCCAGCGCCCGCAUCGUGGCUCUUGCGAGAUCAGAUCUCCCGCGAGAGGAAACCAGGGCUGCUUGGAGACUUGGCUGGAGCCAGAUGAGGGACGGGAAAAGCGUGGACAGGUAUCUAGGCCACAGAAGAGGACAUCUGUCCAGACCACAGCUCUCAGGCCACAGAGACACGGCCACGGCGUGGCUCCCAGACCACGACAUUUCCUCUGGUUGUGUCUCAGGCUACAGUGAGGACGGCUGGACAAAUUCUUGGCAAGAGUGCACUAUCGAUGUUGGUCUCCCGAUCAGAGCAAGGCCACACGAGAGUGUCCUUGUUCUUGGGAAACAAACGCUGAGAUCCAGAGUAUCGGGAAGGACGCACAAAAAGAGAUCAUCCGUCCAAAGAACUCAAAUAGAAACAGGAGAAAAACAAAAGAUGAUUUUAAAAACGAAGACUAAAUCGGAAGGAAAACCAAAGUGGACGCCUGCCACGGCGACUUCAGAGAAACAGAAGGAGAAAGGGGGCAAUUUUUUACAAGUCAGGAAAGACACAGGAAAGACCUUGAGGCAGAGGAGGCUCUGAACGCGUCCCCGAAGAAGAAAACCGGAGCCCACGACAAGAGCUGAGUACGGCAGGCCAGGACACUUCCGCGGACGCAGAGAAGUCUGAAACCACAUGUUGAGGGGGCACAUCGCAUGGCGGACACUGAGACACUAUGACAAAGUCACUGCGCUUUAGAGAGUUCUGAGAGGACACAGGACUUGAAGAUAAAAAUCUCAAGAUAACAAGGUUUAAGAAAAACAUAAGACCAUCCAUCCAGAUAAUCCACUUCUAGGUGUCCUUGCAGAGAAACACGUAGCUGUUCACUCCAACACACGUGCAUUCGGGCGUUGAACACAGCUCUGAUUCAGCAGUUCUGAUGAAGGGAAAAUGUGAAACGGGUACAAACGGGCAGGGCUCCAUGGGGGCAGACAAGCUCCUGUGAGGCUCAGGGACCUGGAGCCCGAGACCAGCUCAGGGGGCCUGCAGGGCCGCACCUGUCGUCACGACAACGCCACCCCUCAGCAUGACACACAGUUUGCCUUUCCCCUCGGACGGACCGGCCUGGACGGACUUGGGAGACCUAGAAGACGAUACAUCUGUGUCGCCCGGCGUCGCCGGCACUACCUACAGCAGCAGCGGGAAAUGAACGCAGCACGUGAUGGGUGGCACCGCAUCAGAGCAAAAGCAGAAAGUUACGGGCCAGCUACCUUUGACAAAGCCAGAUUAUUAAACAGAUCUUUUUAACCAUAACACAAUGCCACUCUUUCGAUUUUUAAAAUACAGUCGUUUUUUAAGAAAAACGUUCUUGGGGCACCUGGGUGGCUCAGUCGGUUAAGCGUCCAAUUUUGGCUCAGGUCAUGAUCUCACGCACAGUUCCUGGGUUCGAGCCCCGCCUUGGGCUCUGUGCUGACAGCUCGGAGCCUGCUUCGGAUUCUGUGUCUCCCUCUCUCUCUGCCCCUCCCCUGCUCGUGCUCUCUGUCUCUGUCUCUGUCUCUC